This 1126-nucleotide long non-coding RNA is filed under the name Sus scrofa (pig). Its description in RNAcentral is "lncRNA (ENSSSCG00055030345.1)". Lineage: Eukaryota; Metazoa; Chordata; Mammalia; Artiodactyla; Suidae. The record is from RNAcentral.
GUUGCUGUGGCUCUGGCAUAGGCCAGUGGCUACCGCUCCAAUUGGACCCCUAGCCUGGGAACCUCCAUAUGCUGCGGGAGCAGCCCAAGAAAUAGCAAAAAGACAAAAAAAAAAAAAAAUUCUUAUUACAACACUAACAUCCAUCCCAGUCCCUAACACACAGUAGGUACUUGAUAAUGUUUCAUCAGUGAAUGGAGAAAUGAGCAGACAAUGAGAGAUGUUUUCUUUUCUACCUGUAGGACGGAUGGGAGGCUGUGAGACUGAAUUCAGAACUUACGGAGGGUAAAAUGAGAAGGUGGACUCUUUAGGCAGCAGCUGAGGCUGUGGCAAUCAGUUCCUGUUUAAAAGGAACUCAAAACUGAACAGGAGGCGAAGCUGGAAAACACAGUGUGAAGAGUGUUCUAAGAAGAGAACACAGUGUGACCACAGGGGAGCGGCGGCUGCCUCAGACCGGAGGAGGGAGGAUGCAGGGAGGAAUCCUUCUGGAGGGGACCAUGUGCCAGGUCUCAGAGGAAGGCUGGGAGUUCAUCAGGUGAAAGAGGAAGAUACAGAGGUAAGGGGAGCAGAGCACAUUCUGAUUCUUUCUGCUGCACUUUGUGUGAUGGACUCACAUAGAAACCAGGCACCAGUCCUGUCUAGCCGUCCACAUCUCUAUGUUAUUUCAUUGAACGUAGGGGUAACCGUCCACAUUUCUCUGGAUCUUGAAAGUAUAAAAUAAAUAAUUUUUACUCCUCUUCUACUCCCUCAAAACAUUUAUGCUCCACUUACUGCAGCAUUUCCGCACAUGCUACUCUCUCUGCCUGAAAGACUCUGCCUUUCUCUCUUAUAAACAUUUUAUCAGUUGUCCUCGCCUAAUUCCCAUUUAUUCUUCAAGAGUCAGUUUAAACACCAUUUCUUCAGGGAGACCUUCUUGACCCCAAGGUUAGGUCAGGUCCCUUGACAGUGUCCCCUAAAUCUCUCUGAUCGUGACAUUCAUGCUUUUCCCCCGUUUGACUUAAUUGUCUCUCAUUUCCUAUACACUUUAAACUCCAUGAGAAUUUAUUUACUCCUAUAUACUCAGUAGUCAACAAAGUGGUUCAUAAUAGGCACUCAAUAAAUAUUUAUAGAAUGAAUAAAUGAAUGAGCA